GGAAGCGUGGCAGAGUGGCCGAUUGCACCGGUCUUGAAAACCGGCAACGGGCAACCGUUCGUGAGUUCGAAUCUCACCGCUUCCGCCA
RNAcentral lists this transfer RNA (88 nucleotides) under Candidatus Accumulibacter phosphatis. RNAcentral's name for it is "tRNA-Ser". It matches the Rfam family "tRNA". Rfam says of the family: Transfer RNA (tRNA) molecules are approximately 80 nucleotides in length. Their secondary structure includes four short double-helical elements and three loops (D, anti-codon, and T loops). Lineage: Bacteria; Pseudomonadati; Pseudomonadota; Betaproteobacteria. RNAcentral also lists the same sequence under 2 other names. The record is from RNAcentral.